UUCCCACAUUUUACCAAUUACGAAGGCAUUAAGGAUAACUAAUGUUACUGACUCGUUUGCCAGGUGCUUUGAGAUCUCGGAGCUAGGUUUUGUUGUUCAUUGCUGCGCUAAGAGUCAGCGUGAACCUUGGAGGCCGAAUGAACACAUUUAUCUGGAAUGCUUUGAAUCUGGGUUUAAGCAUGGUAAUGCUAGAAGGAGGUGAGUUCCACUUCAUUGUUAUUUACUUACAAGGGAGAAGAAACAUUGCAAAACCGGUCUGUUUAUUGAGAUUUCAUGUGGUUCUCUGAUCCUAUUUCCCCACCCAUCUCCCUCCCAUGGAGUGCUUUCUCCAGUCGGGCUGGAUUGGCGGGUGGCGGUGGGGUGGGAUGGGAUGGACAGUGAUGGGGCUGGCUGAGCAUCCCCAGAGCUAUGCAAGGUGAUGACAACUGGAAGAUUGCUUUCUUAUAGGUGCAUAUGUUGAGGGGAUAAGCCCCCUGAUGCUUAGCGACAGCUGAAAUGAACAUUCACCAUGGUGCAGGUACGAGGGCUGUGUAUAAAGGGAGAGGGUCAGGAGCGUGCCCUCAGCUCCCCCUGAAUUAAAUGAAGAGAUACUCCAAGCUGGGAAGCAAAAAAAAAAAAAAAAGAAAAAAAAGAGAAAAAAAGAAGUUGUGCUUGAGGUUAGUGCUGCUCUCCGCCGCAAAGCCGAUGACAUCAAUGUUGCCAUGGUGACAAAAUCUUCACUUAGGUAUGGUGAGCGCCCCGAGCCUGCGGCUGCCAAGGAAACCCGCCGAGCGCCAGGCAGCCCGCACUCAGCCCUGCCGCCUUCCUCCUCCUCCUCCUCCUCCUCGUCCUGCCCCACGCCAGCAGUGCUGCAGCCUUCUGCCUCCUGGUUAUUGCCCCGUAACCCGCUGCCCUCAGCCAGGAGCAGUCAGCAGGCAACAGGGUGAACCCGUGGGCCGGAGGGAAGGGAGCAGGGCAGGCACCCUGCCCCGUGCUCAGCCACGGCCUGGCCGAGCGUCACCAUCCCCACCAGGUCUCCUGCUCCUGGGGCUCUGCCACAGCGCGGCCGGGAGGAUCCCAAAGGCCCAUCCAACCCCGGGGGACGUUCAGAGGCUGUAGGCCAGGGCCCUGUCCUGCUAUGCCUUCAUAUCCAAGAGCAGAAGCCAAAGCCACCAAAGCAGAGGUGCUUCGUUGUGGCUCAUGGUGCCCUGCAUCACUUCAGCAUUGGCUUAAAACUGACUGCUCUGUGGGGGAAAGGAUACGAUUUACUCAGAGGCAGAUCCAGAACUGUGGUGGGGGCAAGGGCGAUCAAUGGACGGCAGAUCUCCAUAGAAAAAAGAAGGUUUUUUUAGGCCUAAAUUUAUGAGGCUAAUUAUUGAUAUCCUUUAAAAUCAGGAAUUUUACAUAGGACCAGAUCUCCACUGCAUGAUUUCUGGUCACAAGAGAUGAGCGUAGCCAAGGGGAAGUGACUCACGGCUGCCUGUGGUUGAAAUUAAUGAGAUUUUUAUCUGGAAAUAUUCCUGUGAGUGCCUUUUUCUUUGUAGUGUGAGUCAGGACAAUAGCAUGGAAAUCAUCCUCGAGGAAAACGGAGACUUCAGUGCGAUGGCUGCGGAUGCUCCGCCACGAUCAGCGCUGGGACAGCUGAGCUAUGGGUUUUGAGGCCAGAAAGCCCCAUCCUGAGCAGUCAGGGAGCAGGAAUCCCUGCGAUAACCCCAUGAGUGGCUUUAUUACAGGGAGAAAGGAGAAUAGGAGGGAAAAGGAAAUUGGAUGGAGGGGUUGGGGAUGGGACUCAUAUUGCACGUUGAGUUAUUUAUUGCAGAUAGGAAGGUGUUAACUGCAGGUUUCCCUGGCAAACUGAACUACUCCAAAAGCACUCUCAUGACGUGCGUCAUCAUCUCUGCAAGG
Molecule: long non-coding RNA, 1884 nt
Organism: Numida meleagris (helmeted guineafowl)
Lineage: Eukaryota; Metazoa; Chordata; Aves; Galliformes; Numididae
Exons: 3
Source: RefSeq, a predicted model, not a curated record